Molecule: ribosomal RNA, 497 nt
Filed under: uncultured bacterium
Lineage: Bacteria
Description: partial 16S ribosomal RNA
Rfam family: Bacterial small subunit ribosomal RNA
Source: RNAcentral
GGUGAACGCUGGCGGCGUGCCUAAUACAUGCAAGUCGAGCGAACAGAUGGGGAGCUUGCUCCUCUGACGUUAGCGGCGGACGGGUGAGUAACACGUGGAUAACCUACCUAUAAGACUGGGAUAACUUCGGGAAACCGGAGCUAAUACCGGAUAAUAUACUGAACCGCAUGGUUCAAUAGUGAAAGACGGUUUUGCUGUCACUUAUAGAUGGAUCCGCGCCGCAUUAGCUAGUUGGUAAGGUAACGGCUUACCAAGGCAACGAUGCGUAGCCGACCUGAGAGGGUGAUCGGCCACCCUGGAACUGAGACACGGUCCCGGCUCCUACGGGAGGCAGCAGUAGGGAAUCUUCCGCAAUGGGCGAAAGCCUGACGGAGCAACGCCGCGUGAGUGAUGAAGGUCUUCGGAUCGUAAAACUCUGUUAUUAGGGAAGAACAAAUGUGUAAGUAACUAUGCACGUCUUGACGGUACCUAAUCAGAAAGCCACGGCUAACUACGUG